This 1173-nucleotide ribosomal RNA is filed under the name marine metagenome. RNAcentral's name for it is "bacterial SSU rRNA". It matches the Rfam family "Bacterial small subunit ribosomal RNA", at positions 309 to 1516 of the family's 1533-position model. The record is from RNAcentral.
CAGAGGGGGACUGAGACACGGCCCCCACUCCUACGGGAGGCAGCAGCAGGGAAUCUUGCACAAUGGGCGAAAGCCUGAUGCAGCGACGCCGCGUGAGGGAUGAAGGUUCUAGGAUCGUAAACCUCUUUUCUUAGGGAAUAGUUUGGAAGGUACCUAAGGAAUAAGUCACGGCUAACUACGUGCCAGCAGCCGCGGUAAUACGUAGGUGGCAAAUGUUGUCCGGAAUCAUUGGGCGUAAAGGGUCCGUAGGUGGCUUGAAAAGUCUUAUGUGAAAUCUCUUGGCUCAACCAAGAAACGCCAUAAGAAACUUUCAUGCUAGAGAUCAUCAGAGGGAGGUAGAAUUCCAGGUGUAGUGGUGAAAUGCGUAGAUAUCUGGAGGAAUACCAAUGGCGAAAGCAGCCUCCUGGGGUGAAUCUGACAUUGAGGGACGAAAGCGUGGGUAGCAAACCGGAUUAGAUACCCGGGUAGUCCAUGCCGUAAACGAUGAAUACUGGGUCUUCGGGGAAUCGACCCCCUGUGGACCGAAGCUAACGCGUUAAGUAUUCCGCCUGGGGAGUACGGUCGCAAGACUAAAACUCAAAGGAAUUGACGGGGGCCCGCACAAGCAGCGGAGCGUGUGGUUUAAUUCGAUGGUAAACGAAGAACCUUACCUAGGUUUGACAUAUAAGUAGUACUGACCCGAAAGGUGAUGGACCCGCAAGGGAGCUUAUACAGGUGCUGCAUGGUUGUCGUCAGCUCGUGCCGUGAGGUGUUGGGUUAAGUCCCGCAACGAGCGCAACCCUCGUGGAUAGUUGUUUUCUUUAUCCAGACUGCUUUUACAAGAGGAAGGUGGGGAUGACGUCAAAUCAUCAUGGCUCUUACACCUAGGGCUACACACACGCUACAAUGGACAGUACAGACGGUUGCUAAGUCGCAAGAUGGAGCCAAUCCGAUAAAGCUGUCCCCAAUUGGGAUUGUAGGCUGAAACUCGCCUGCAUGAACCUGGAGUUGCUAGUAACCGCAGAUCAGAAUGCUGCGGUGAAUACGUUCCCGGGCCUUGUACACACCGCCCGUCACGUCAUGGAAGUUUGAAACACUUGAAGUCGCUGGGCUUACCUUUUAGGAGGCAGGCGCCGAGAGUGGGGCAAAUGACUGGGACGAAGUCGUAACAAGGUAGCUGUACCGGAAGGUGCG